Molecule: ribosomal RNA, 430 nt
Filed under: uncultured bacterium
Lineage: Bacteria
Description: partial 16S ribosomal RNA
Rfam family: Bacterial small subunit ribosomal RNA
Source: RNAcentral
GUGGGGAAUAUUGCACAAUGGGCGCAAGCCUGAUGCAGCAACGCCGCGUGAGGGACGACGGCCUUCGGGUUGUAAACCUCUUUUAGCAGGGAAGAAGCGAAAGUGACGGUACCUGCAGAAAAAGCACCGGCUAACUACGUGCCAGCAGCCGCGGUAAUACGUAGGGUGCAAGCGUUGUCCGGAAUUAUUGGGCGUAAAGAGCUCGUAGGCGGUUUGUCGCGUCUGCUGUGAAAACCCGAGGCUCAACCUCGGGCCUGCAGUGGGUACGGGCAGACUAGAGUGCGGUAGGGGAGGUUGGAAUUCCUGGUGUAGCGGUGGAAUGCGCAGAUAUCAGGAGGAACACCGAUGGCGAAGGCAGAUCUCUGGGCCGUAACUGACGCUGAGGAGCGAAAGCGUGGGGAGCGAACAGGAUUAGAUACCCCAGUAGUCC